GUGCUCCCUUUGGCAGCACAUAUACUAAAAUUGGAACAAUACAGAGAAGAUUAGCAUAGCCCCUGCAUAAGGAUGACUUGCAAAUUCAUGAAGCAUUCCAUAAAAAA
RNAcentral lists this small nuclear RNA (107 nucleotides) under Zalophus californianus (California sea lion). The record is from RNAcentral. RNAcentral also lists the same sequence under 1 other name. Lineage: Eukaryota; Metazoa; Chordata; Mammalia; Carnivora; Otariidae.